AGAGUUUGAUCCUGGCUCAGGAUGAACGCUGGCGGUAUGCUUAACACAUGCAAGUCGAACGAAAGUCUUCGGAUUUUAGUGGCGGACGGGUGAGUAACGCGUGAGGAUCUGCCUAUAGGUUGGGGACAACAGAUGGAAACGUCUGCUAAUACCCAAUGUGCCGAGAGGUGAAAGCUUUAGUGCCUGUAGAUGAGCUCGCGUCCGAUUAGCUAGUUGGUAGGGUAAAGGCUUACCAAGGCGACGAUCAGUAGCUGGUCUGAGAGGAUGAUCAGCCACACUGGGACUGAGACACGGCCCAGACUCCUACGGGAGGCAGCAGUGGGGAAUUUUCCGCAAUGGGCGAAAGCCUGACGGAGCAAGACCGCGUGCGGGAGGAAGGUCUAUUGAUUGUAAACCGCUUUUGAUAGGGAAGAAGAUCUGACGGUACCUAUCGAAUCAGCAUCGGCUAACUCCGUGCCAGCAGCCGCGGUAAUACGGGGGAUGCAAGCGUUAUCCGGAAUUAUUGGGCGUAAAGCGUCCGUAGGUGGUUUUAAAAGUCUGUUGUCAAAUCGCGAGGCUUAACCUCGUACAGGCAGUGGAAACUGAGAGACUAGAGUACGGUAGGGGUAGCGGGAAUUCCCAGUGUAGCGGUGAAAUGCGUAGAUAUUGGGAAGAACACCAGCGGCGAAGGCGCGCUACUGGGCCGAAACUGACACUCAUGGACGAAAGCUAGGGGAGCGAAAGGGAUUAGAU
This 732-nucleotide ribosomal RNA is filed under the name uncultured cyanobacterium. RNAcentral describes it as "bacterial SSU rRNA". It matches the Rfam family "Bacterial small subunit ribosomal RNA", at positions 8 to 783 of the family's 1533-position model. Lineage: Bacteria; Bacillati; Cyanobacteriota. The record is from RNAcentral.